RNAcentral lists this ribosomal RNA (497 nucleotides) under uncultured bacterium. RNAcentral's name for it is "partial 16S ribosomal RNA". It matches the Rfam family "Bacterial small subunit ribosomal RNA", at positions 28 to 507 of the family's 1533-position model. The record is from RNAcentral.
GAUGAACGCUGGCGGCGUGCCUAAUACAUGCAAGUCGAGCGAACAGACGAGGAGCUUGCUCCUCUUACGUUAGCGGCGGACGGGUGAGUAACACGUGGAUAACCUACCUAUAAGACUGGGAUAACUUCGGGAAACCUGAUCUAAUACCGGAUAAUAUAUUGAACCGCAUGGUUCAAUAGUGAAAGACGGUUUUGCUGUCACUUAGAGAUGGAUCCGCGCCGCAUUAGCUAGUUGGUAAGGUAACGGCUUACCAAGGCAACGAUGCGUAGCCGACCUGAGAGGGUGAUCGGCCACACUGGAACUGAGACACGGUCCAGACUCCUACGGGAGGCAGCAGUAGGGAAUCUUCGGCAAAGGGCGAAAGCCUGACGGAGCAACGCCGCGUGAGUGAUGAAGGUCUUCGGAUCGUAAAACUCUGUUAUUAGGGAAGAACAAAUGUGUAAGUAACUAUGCACGUCUUGACGGUACCUAAUCAGAAAGCCACGGCUAACUACGUG